RNAcentral lists this transfer RNA (70 nucleotides) under Dipodomys ordii (Ord's kangaroo rat). It matches the Rfam family "tRNA". Rfam says of the family: Transfer RNA (tRNA) molecules are approximately 80 nucleotides in length. Their secondary structure includes four short double-helical elements and three loops (D, anti-codon, and T loops). Lineage: Eukaryota; Metazoa; Chordata; Mammalia; Rodentia; Heteromyidae. The record is from Rfam by way of RNAcentral.
GGAAAUGUGGCUUAGUGGUAGAGUGCUUGUCUAGCAUGCAUGAAGCCCUGGGUUCAAUUCCUCAGUACCA